GAUGAAGCUGUUACGUCUGGCUCUCAGCGGUCUGCAGCAAGGUCCCAGUGUCGCUGAGAUGAUGGUGUCUCUGGGACCUGCAGAGAUCAGUCAUCGAUUCCAGAAGCUUCUGCAGCUUUCAGACAAUAAUUAAAGACUGAGCUGUCUGUCUGUCACCACAUCGCCUUACAUUCACUCUGCUGACUGAAGGGAACCUGAAGACAACAGCUUCUGUACGUUGAAAACAACAUGCUUUACCUCCCAAGUGGUGAUUCUGCUAAAAGUAAACGGGCUGCACUGGAAAUGAACUCUUCUCCUCUGAUAUGUUGAGUAAUACUUGAAUUAAUACAAAUAUUUUAUAAACUAA
Long non-coding RNA from Amphiprion ocellaris (clown anemonefish), 346 nucleotides. RefSeq lists it as uncharacterized. The record is from RefSeq and is a predicted model, not a curated record. The transcript has 2 exons. NCBI's taxonomy places the organism in Eukaryota, Metazoa, Chordata, Actinopteri, Pomacentridae.